AGCUGGUUCUCCGCGAAAACUAUUGAGGUAGUGCGUCGCAGUGAUACCUUAGGGGGUAGAGCACUGAAUAGGCUAGGGGGUUUACCGACUUACCAAACCUAAUCAAACUCCGAAUACCUAAGAGUAAUAUGCGGCAGACAGUCCAUGGGUGCUAAGGUCCAUGGACGAGAGGGAAAGAGCCCUGACCUUCAGCUAAGGUCCCAAAGUUGUGGCUAAGUGUGAAAGAAAGUGAGAAGACCAAGACAGCCAGGAGGUUGGCUUAGAAGCAGCCAUCCUUUAAAGAAAGCGUAAUAGCUCACUGGUCUAGACAAGUUUUCUUGCGUCAAAGAUGUAAGGGGGCUAAAGCCACACACCGAAGCUAAGGAUUGUAUAUUUAGAUAUACAGUGGUAGCGGAGCGUUCCGUAGGCCGAAGAAGCAGUAUCGUAAGGUAUUGUGGAGGUAUCGGAAGUGAGGAUGCUGACAUGAGUAACGAUAAAUAGAGUGAGAAACUCUAUCGCCGAAAAUCUAAGGUUUCCUACGCAAGGUUAAUCCGCGUAGGGUUAGUCGACCCCUAAGGCGAGGCUGAAAAGCGUAGUCGAUGGGAACAAGGUUAAUAUUCCUUGACCAUCUGGAGGUGACGGAUUUAAGAGCUAGUAAUGUCUGAAAGGAUUGAUAUUGCGUGUGAUUAGGUUCCAGGAAAUAGCCCCAGAAUGAGAUCGUACCGUAAACCGACACAGGUAGAUGGGUUGAGUAUACUAAGGCGCUUGAGAGAAUGAUGUUGAAGGAACUCGGCAAAUUGACUUCGUAACUUCGGGAUAAGAAGUCCCAAUUUGGAGGCAACUUUGAAUUGGGGGCACAGAAUUGGUGGUAGCGACUGUUUAUUAAAAACACAGGACUCUGCAAACUCGUAAGAGGAAGUAUAGGGUCUGACGCCUGCCCGGUGCUGGAAGGUUAAAGAGAGAGGUGAGAGCUUUGAACUGAAGCCCCAGUAAACGGCGGCCGUAACAAUAACGGUCCUAAGGUAGCGAAAUUCCUUGUCGGGUAAGUUCCGACCUGCACGAAUGGCGUAACGAUUUCCACACUGUCUCCAACAUCAACUCAGUGAAAUUGAACUCUCCGUGAAGAUGCGGAGUACCCGCGGUUAGACGGAAAGACCCCGUACUCUGCGUUGAUACCAC
RNAcentral lists this ribosomal RNA (1158 nucleotides) under Proasellus karamani. RNAcentral describes it as "bacterial LSU rRNA". It matches the Rfam family "Bacterial large subunit ribosomal RNA", at positions 847 to 2113 of the family's 2925-position model. Lineage: Eukaryota; Metazoa; Arthropoda; Malacostraca; Isopoda; Asellidae. The record is from RNAcentral.